Molecule: ribosomal RNA, 253 nt
Filed under: uncultured bacterium
Lineage: Bacteria
Description: partial 16S ribosomal RNA
Rfam family: Bacterial small subunit ribosomal RNA
Source: RNAcentral
UACGGAGGGUGCGAGCGUUGUCCGGAAUCACUGGGCGUAAAGGGCGCGUAGGUGGCGCGGGCAGUCAACGGUGAAAGUUCGGGGCUCAACCCUGAAUCGGCCGUCGAUACUCCCGUGCUUGAGCACUGUAGAGGCAGAUGGAAUUCCGGGUGUAGCGGUGGAAUGCGUAGAGAUCCGGAAGAACACCGGUGGCGAAGGCGGGUCUCUGGGCAGUAACUGACGCUGAGGAGCGAAAGCGUGGGGAGCGAACAGG